RNAcentral lists this ribosomal RNA (305 nucleotides) under uncultured bacterium. RNAcentral's name for it is "bacterial SSU rRNA". It matches the Rfam family "Bacterial small subunit ribosomal RNA", at positions 337 to 640 of the family's 1533-position model. The record is from RNAcentral.
CCCUACGGGGGGCAGCAGUGAGGAAUAUUGGUCAAUGGGCGGGAGCCUGAACCAGCCAAGCCGCGUGAGGGAUGAAGGUACAGAGUAUCGUAAACCUCUUUUGUCAGGGAACAAAGGCGGGGACGUGUCCCCGGAUGAGUGUACCUGAAGAAAAAGCAUCGGCUAACUCCGUGCCAGCAGCCGCGGUAAUACGGAGGAUGCGAGCGUUAUCCGGAUUUAUUGGGUUUAAAGGGUGCGCAGGCGGUCUGUUAAGUCAGCGGUCAAAGCCCGGGGCUCAACCCCGGCCCGCCGUUGAAACUGGCAGU